AGCAGGUGGCAUAGUGGUUAGAGCUGUCACCUUGCAACUGAAAGACAAGGGUUUGAAUCCCAAGUCUGCUG
This 71-nucleotide transfer RNA is filed under the name Scleropages formosus (Asian bonytongue). RNAcentral's name for it is "tRNA-Ala". The record is from RNAcentral. Lineage: Eukaryota; Metazoa; Chordata; Actinopteri; Osteoglossiformes; Osteoglossidae.